This 253-nucleotide ribosomal RNA is filed under the name uncultured bacterium. Its description in RNAcentral is "partial 16S ribosomal RNA". It matches the Rfam family "Bacterial small subunit ribosomal RNA", at positions 524 to 776 of the family's 1533-position model. The record is from RNAcentral.
UACAGAGGGUGCGAGCGUUAAUCGGAAUUACUGGGCGUAAAGGGCGCGUAGGUGGUGAGAUAAGCGAGAUGUGAAAUCCCUGGGCUUAACCUAGGAACUGCGUCUUGAACUAUCUCGCUGGAGUACUGUAGAGGGUAGUGGAAUUUCCGGUGUAGCGGUGAAAUGCGUAGAGAUCGGAAGGAACACCAGUGGCGAAGGCGGCUACCUGGACAGAUACUGACACUGAGGCGCGAGAGCGUGGGGAGCAAACAGG